AUACGGAGGGUGCAAGCGUUAAUCGGAAUUACUGGGCGUAAAGGGCGCGUAGGCGGUCUAUCAAGUCAGUUGUGAAAUCCCACGGCUCAGCCGUGGCGGUGCAUCUGAAACUGAUAGACUUGAGUAUGGGAGAGGAAAGUGGAAUUACCGGUGUAGAGGUGAAAUUCGUAGAUAUCGGGAGGAACACCAGUGGCGAAGGCGACUUUCUGGACCAAUACUGACGCUGAGGCGCGAAAGCGUGGGGAGCAAACAGGAUUAGAAACCCCAGUAGUCC
This 274-nucleotide ribosomal RNA is filed under the name uncultured bacterium. Its description in RNAcentral is "partial 16S ribosomal RNA". It matches the Rfam family "Bacterial small subunit ribosomal RNA", at positions 523 to 796 of the family's 1533-position model. The record is from RNAcentral.